UGCCGCAUGGCUCAGUGGUAGAGCGCCCGGACAGUCCGACAUGUGGACGACGGGAAGGUCGGGGGUUCGAUUCCUCCCUGUGGCAG
This is a non-coding RNA of Mycena latifolia, 86 nucleotides long. NCBI's taxonomy places the organism in Eukaryota, Fungi, Basidiomycota, Agaricomycetes, Agaricales, Mycenaceae. The record is from the annotation of a GenBank genome assembly.